UUUGUUCCCUGCAGCAUUUCCCUUUUGCUUCUUAGAGUUGUCCAGACCUCCCAAAGCUUCUUCAGCUAUCUGUUGGGAAUGUGUUUCUCCAGGAAGUUUUCCCAGCGAUAUCAUAGCUGCUGAGGCUACACAUUCAACAAUUUCUUGCUUUGCCAUCAACACUUUGCCAGCCACCAUCCUGCCAUCUAAAAAUGUGAAUAGAAAGUAUUUUUCCUGAAGAACACAUCGUCAAUAAAUCACCUGCACCCAAAUCUCCAUCUCAGGCGCUACUUCUGGCAAGGCAUAUCAUGAGGCUAGUGAAGCACCUACAAGAAACUUAUAACUCAAGGUUGUAAAAAUGGCAUGGUGACUCUUACAAUCAUAUCACAGUGGGCCUCUCCAACAAUUUAAACCUCAUGACCUAGGUGAAAGCUGUAAAAGGAUCCACAUUAAUUCUUCAGAGGCAGGGCUAAGACUUUCAAGACUGAAAAGAGACUAGCAUAAGGAGACUUAACAGGAACCCAGUCAAGGCCAUUCAUGGCCAUGGGACCACGCAUAAAUGGAGAACGAGUAAAUUUU
This 558-nucleotide small RNA is filed under the name Pan troglodytes (chimpanzee). Its description in RNAcentral is "retained intron". The record is from RNAcentral. Lineage: Eukaryota; Metazoa; Chordata; Mammalia; Primates; Hominidae.